This 312-nucleotide small RNA is filed under the name Oryza sativa Japonica Group (Japanese rice). RNAcentral's name for it is "sRNA Os07g0132001". The record is from RNAcentral. Lineage: Eukaryota; Viridiplantae; Streptophyta; Magnoliopsida; Poales; Poaceae.
UAGUCCCUUUUUAUCCUCUCCAACUUCACAACAACAUCCUUCAUAGUUGGCCUUUCAUCAGGUGCAUGGCUGCAACACAUUAGGCCCACCUCAAAUAUUGGUACAAGAAGGUCAGUGAUCAGCCUGCUAGAAGCAGCAUCUUCAUGUGCAUUAUCAUUGUGGUUAGUACCACAAUCUUUGUCACAGUCCUGCAGAAGAUUGCUGUCCACAACAUCAGUAAGCCUCAGUGGAAAUGCUUGAUGAACCCACUCCCUGAGGCUCAGCUCUCCAGCAAACAUGGGAUCUGUCGGCAUCUUCCCAGUGAAAACUUCC